GGGUACAGCUCAGUGGCAGAGCACGUGCUUAGCAUGCAGGAGGUCCUGGGUUCAAUCCCCAGUAUACCUC
This 70-nucleotide transfer RNA is filed under the name Camelus bactrianus (Bactrian camel). It matches the Rfam family "tRNA". Rfam says of the family: Transfer RNA (tRNA) molecules are approximately 80 nucleotides in length. Lineage: Eukaryota; Metazoa; Chordata; Mammalia; Artiodactyla; Camelidae. The record is from Rfam by way of RNAcentral. RNAcentral also lists the same sequence under 2 other names.